UGCGGAGGGUGCGAGCGUUGUCCGGAAUCACUGGGCGUAAAGGGCGCGUAGGCGGCGCGGGUAGUCAUCGGUGAAAGUUCGGGGCUCAACUCUGAAUCGGCCGGUGAUACUCCCGUGCUCGAGCACUGUAGAGGCAGGUGGAAUUCCGGGUGUAGCGGUGGAAUGCGUAGAGAUCCGGAAGAACACCGGUGGCGAAGGCGGCCUGCUGGGCAGUAGCUGACGCUGAUGCGCGACAGCGCGGGGAGCAAACAGG
This 253-nucleotide ribosomal RNA is filed under the name uncultured bacterium. RNAcentral describes it as "partial 16S ribosomal RNA". It matches the Rfam family "Bacterial small subunit ribosomal RNA", at positions 524 to 776 of the family's 1533-position model. The record is from RNAcentral.